This is a non-coding RNA of Aspergillus coremiiformis, 93 nucleotides long. The record is from the annotation of a GenBank genome assembly. Lineage: Eukaryota; Fungi; Ascomycota; Eurotiomycetes; Eurotiales; Aspergillaceae.
GCCCGGUUAGCUUAGUUGGUAGAGCGUGAGACUUUUAGAACAUCCAAUUCUUCCCAAAUCUCAAGGUCGCGGGUUCGAGCCCCGCAUUGGGCG